RNAcentral lists this ribosomal RNA (253 nucleotides) under uncultured bacterium. RNAcentral's name for it is "partial 16S ribosomal RNA". It matches the Rfam family "Bacterial small subunit ribosomal RNA", at positions 524 to 776 of the family's 1533-position model. The record is from RNAcentral.
UACAGAGGGUGCAAGCGUUAAUCGGAAUUACUGGGCGUAAAGCGUGCGCAGGCGGUUAUGUAAGACAGUUGUGAAAUCCCCGGGCUCAACCUGGGAACUGCAUCUGUGACUGCAUAGCCAGAGUACGGUAGAGGGGGAUGGAAUUCCGCGUGUAGCAGUGAAAUGCGUAGAUAUGCGGAGGAACACCGAUGGCGAAGGCAAUCCCCUGGACCUGUACUGACGCUCAUGCACGAAAGCGUGGGGAGCAAACAGG